RNAcentral lists this small RNA (242 nucleotides) under Canis lupus dingo (dingo). RNAcentral describes it as "7SK RNA (ENSCAFG00020000242.1)". It matches the Rfam family "7SK RNA", at positions 81 to 331 of the family's 331-position model. Rfam says of the family: 7SK was discovered as an abundant small nuclear RNA in the mid-70s but a possible function has only recently been suggested. Lineage: Eukaryota; Metazoa; Chordata; Mammalia; Carnivora; Canidae. The record is from RNAcentral.
GGGUGUCCCCUUCCUCCCUCACCGCUCCAUGUGCGUCCCUCCCGAAGCUGCGCGCUCGGUCGAAGAGGACGACCAUCCCCGAUAGAGGAGGACCGUUCUUCGGUCAAGGGUAUACGAGUAGCUGCGCUCCCCUGCUAGAACCUCCAAACAAGCUCUCAAAUUUUGUGUUUUUAAUGAAGACGCCAGGUGGUGCAGUUCAGACAUAAACCUGGGCACAAUGUGUUGUGGAAGUUCCCUCAGCA